GACGAACGCUGGCGGCGUGCUUAACACAUGCAAGUCGAACGGAAAGGCCUGCUUUCCCUUGUGGAUUGCGGGUACUCGAGUGGCGAACGGGUGAGUAACACGUGAGUGAUCUGCCCCCAACUUGGGUAUAAGCCUGGGAAACUGGGUCUAAUUCCCGAUAGGACUGCAGGGUGGUGCCUGUGGUGGAAAACGAUUUUCUAGUGGUUGGGGAUGAGCUCGCGGCCUAUCAGCUUGUUGGUGGGGUAAUGGCCUACCAAGGCGGCGACGGGUAGCCGGCCUGAGAGGGUGGACGGGCACAUUGGGACUGAGAUACGGCCCAGACUACUACGGGAGGCAGCAGUGGGGAAUAUGGCACAAUGGGCGGAAGCCUGAGGCAGCGACGCCGCGUGGGGGAUGACGGGCUUCGGGUGGUAAACUCCUUUCGACCGCGAGGAAGCCACCUGGUUGGAAGGGUGGUGACGGUAGUGGUAGAAGAAGCACCGGCUAACUACGUG
Molecule: ribosomal RNA, 494 nt
Filed under: uncultured bacterium
Lineage: Bacteria
Description: partial 16S ribosomal RNA
Rfam family: Bacterial small subunit ribosomal RNA
Source: RNAcentral